RNAcentral lists this ribosomal RNA (330 nucleotides) under Rhyzobius chrysomeloides. RNAcentral describes it as "partial 12S ribosomal RNA". Lineage: Eukaryota; Metazoa; Arthropoda; Insecta; Coleoptera; Coccinellidae. The record is from RNAcentral.
UAGAUACCCUAUUAUUUUAAAUGUAAUUUUUUAUCCUAAUGAUUAAUAGCUAUGUUCUUUAAAGUUAAAUAUUUUGGCGGUAUUUUAGUCUUUUCAGAGGAACCUGUCCUAUAAUUGAUAAUCCACGAUUUAGAAUACUUAAAUUAGAAAUUUAUAUAUCAUCGUUAUUGAAUAUUUUAAAAGAAAAAAAUAUUUUAAAGUUAAAAUUUUAAAGUAAAUCAGAUCAAGGUGUAGUUUAUAUUUAAGUGGAGAUGGGUUACAAUAAAAUUAAAAGUGGAAAGAGUAUAUGAAUAUAUGAAUGAAAUUGGAUUUGAAAGUAAUUAAAUUUAA